Molecule: unclassified non-coding RNA, 368 nt
Filed under: Hevea brasiliensis (rubber tree)
Lineage: Eukaryota; Viridiplantae; Streptophyta; Magnoliopsida; Malpighiales; Euphorbiaceae
Source: RNAcentral
GAGAAAACAAAUUUCAUGCACUAAUUUUAUUUCAGAAAACAGGAGGAAUGCCCCCACAAUCUAUGUCAGUAUAAACUUGCCUCAAAUUGUUACACCUACAGAAACAUAAUGUUCUAAUAUACCUAUUAAAGGAAUGAAAAGAAUUGUGAAAAAGAAAUCUGAAAUGUUGAGUAAAAGAUCGUGUUGAAGGGAGCAGGCAAAGUUGCCGCUGCCAUUGUCAUCCCAUCAACAUGCCUUGACCACAUUGCAGUAAUUUCUUUUCCAAUUCCUGAUUCACUUGGAUCAGGUUUUUAUAAAUGCCAAGACAGACAUCUAAUUAAAGAGUCAUAUCUAUUGGAUAGCAACCAAGAACACGAAGAAAUCUUGCA